This 388-nucleotide ribosomal RNA is filed under the name uncultured bacterium. RNAcentral's name for it is "bacterial SSU rRNA". It matches the Rfam family "Bacterial small subunit ribosomal RNA", at positions 28 to 417 of the family's 1533-position model. The record is from RNAcentral.
GACGAACGCUGGCGGCGUGCUUAACACAUGCAAGUCGAGCGGUAAGGCCCUUUCGGGGGUACACGAGCGGCGAACGGGUGAGUAACACGUGGGUGACCUGCCCUCAGCUCCGGGAUAAGCCCGGGAAACUGGGUCUAAUACCGGAUAUGACUCCAUGACGCAUGUUGUGGGGUGGAAAGCCUUGUGCGGCUGAGGAUGGGCCCGCGGCCUAUCAGCUUGUUGGUGGGGUGAUGGCCACCAAGGCGACGACGGGUAGCCGGCCUGAGAGGGCGACCGGCCGACACUGGGACUGAGACACGGCCCAGACUCCUACGGGAGGCAGCAGUGGGGAAUCUUGCGCAAUGGGCGAAAGCCUGACGCAGCGACGCCGCGUGAGGGAUGACGGCCU